RNAcentral lists this ribosomal RNA (604 nucleotides) under uncultured bacterium. Its description in RNAcentral is "bacterial SSU rRNA". It matches the Rfam family "Bacterial small subunit ribosomal RNA", at positions 8 to 622 of the family's 1533-position model. The record is from RNAcentral.
AGAGUUUGAUCCUGGCUCAGGACGAACGCUGGCGGCGUGCCUAACACAUGCAAGUCGAGCGGGGUCCAACCAGUAGCAAUACUGGGGAAGACCUAGCGGCGAACGGGUGAGUAACACGUGAGAAACCUGCCCCGAAGUCUGGGAUAACCCGAGGAAACUCGAGCUAAUACCGGAUGCCCUCUUCUGGUCGCAUGGCCGGAACAGGAAAGAUUCAUCGCUUCGGGAGGGUCUCGCGGCCUAUCAGCUAGUUGGUGGGGUAACGGCCCACCAAGGCGUCGACGGGUAGCUGGUCUGAGAGGACGAUCAGCCACACUGGGACUGAGACACGGCCCAGACUCCUACGGGAGGCAGCAGUGGGGAAUCUUGCGCAAUGGGCGAAAGCCUGACGCAGCAACGCCGCGUGCGGGAUGAAGGCCUUCGGGUUGUAAACCGCUUUCAGCAGGGACGAAAAUGACGGUACCUGCAGAAGAAGCCCCGGCCAACUACGUGCCAGCAGCCGCGGUAACACGUAGGGGGCAAGCGUUGUCCGGAUUUAUUGGGCGUAAAGAGCUCGUAGGCGGCUCGGUAAGUCGGGUGUGAAACCUCCAGGCUCAACCUGGAUUGA